GGUCUGCAAACCAUUUCUGUGCCUGAGCAUAAACUGUUUCUGUCCUGUGAUUUGGUCCAGAGAGAAGUGGAGGUUGGUGUUCGUCCAGAGUUGCCCGUGACUGGAGUGGACAUCAUUUUGGGAAAUGACCUGGCAGGUGGUCGUGUUUGGCCAGAUCAUGCAAAGCCAUUCAGGGGUAACAAAAUAAACAUUGCAGGAAAGAGUUUUCAAGUUAGAGGCGAGGACUGGUUUUGUCCGGAUAAGUGUGGAAUGAUGAACUUUUCUAGAAGAAUCACUUGUUACAGAUGUGGCAGGAAGAAAACCAAGCUGGAGG
Molecule: long non-coding RNA, 313 nt
Organism: Notothenia coriiceps (black rockcod)
Lineage: Eukaryota; Metazoa; Chordata; Actinopteri; Perciformes; Nototheniidae
Exons: 2
Source: RefSeq, a predicted model, not a curated record